UUAGAGUUUGAUCCUGGCUCAGGAUGAACGCUGGCGGCGUGCCUAACACAUGCAAGUCGAACGAAGACUGCGCGGCGGAACUCUCCGGAGGGAAGAUGCGCAGGACUGAGUGGCGGACGGGUGAGUAACGCGUGGGUAACCUGCCCUGUACACACGGAUAACAUACCGAAAGGUAUGCUAAUACGAGAUAAAAUACUUUUAUCGCAUGGUGGAAGUAUCAAAGCUUUUGCGGUACAGGAUGGACCCGCGUCUGAUUAGCUAGUUGGUAAGGUAACGGCUUACCAAGGCAACGAUCAGUAGCCGACCUGAGAGGGUGAUCGGCCACAUUGGAACUGAGACACGGUCCAAACUCCUACGGGAGGCAGCAGUGGGGAAUAUUGCACAAUGGGCGAAAGCCUGAUGCAGCAACGCCGCGUGAGCGAUGAAGGCCUUCGGGUCGUAAAGCUCUGUCCUCAAGGAAGAUAAUGACGGUACUUGAGGAGGAAGCCCCGGCUAACUACGUGCCAGCAGCCGCGGUAAUACGUAGGGGGCUAGCGUUAUCCGGAAUUACUGGGCGUAAAGGGUGCGUAGGUGGUUUCUUAAGUCAGAGGUGAAAGGCUACGGCUCAACCGUAGUAAGCCUUUGAAACUGGGAAACUUGAGUGCAGGAGAGGAGAGUGGAAUUCCUAGUGUAGCGGUGAAAUGCGUAGAUAUUAGGAGGAACACCAGUGGCGAAAGGCGCUUACUGGACUGGAACUGGACGUGAGGCUCGAAAGCGUGGGGAGCGACCCGGAAAGGGUCCCCUGGUAGUCCCCCCCGUAAACGAUGUUUAUUAGGUGUCGGAGGGGAAGGGACCCUUCGGUGCCGCAGCAAAACGCAGUAAGUAAUCCACUUGGGGAGUACGUUCGCAAGAAGGAAACUCAAAGGAAUUGACGGGGGACCCGCACAAGCGGUGGAGCAUGUGGUUUAAUCCGAAGCAAACGCGAAGACCCUUACCAAGUCUUGACAUCUGGAUGACAGGGACGUAACGGUCCCCUUACUUCGGUACAUCCAAGACAGGUGGUGCAUGGUUGUCGUCAGCUGGUGUCGUGAGAUGUUGGGUUAAGUCCCGCAACGAGCGCAACCCUUAUCCUUAGUAGCCAGCGGGCAGGGCCGGGCACUCUAGGGAGACUGCCGGGGAUAACCCGGAGGAAGGUGGGGAUGACGUCAAAUCAUCAUGCCCCUUAUGAUUUGGGCUACACACGUGCUACAAUGGCGUAAACAGAGGGAAGCGAACCCGCGAGGGGGAGCAAAUCCCAAAAAUAACGUCCCAGUUCGGAUUGUAGCCUGCAACCCGGCUACAUGAAGCUGGAAUCGCUAGUAAUCGCGGAUCAGAAUGCCGCGGUGAAUACGUUCCCGGGUCUUGCACACACCGCCCGUCA
Molecule: ribosomal RNA, 1399 nt
Filed under: uncultured bacterium
Lineage: Bacteria
Description: 16S ribosomal RNA
Rfam family: Bacterial small subunit ribosomal RNA
Source: RNAcentral